GACGAACGCUGGCGGCGUGCUUAACACAUGCAAGUCGAACGGAAAGGCCCUGCUUUUGUGGGGUGCUCGAGUGGCGAACGGGUGAGUAACACGUGAGUAACCUGCCCUUGACUUUGGGAUAACUUCAGGAAACUGGGGCUAAUACCGGAUAGGAGCUCCUGCUGCAUGGUGGGGGUUGGAAAGUUUCGUCGGUUGGGGAUGGACUCGCGGCUUAUCAGCUUGUUGGUGGGGUAGUGGCUUACCAAGGCUUUGACGGGUAGCCGGCCUGAGAGGGUGACCGGCCACAUUGGGACUGAGAUACGGCCCAGACUCCUACGGGAGGCAGCAGUGGGGAAUAUUGCACAAUGGGCGGAAGCCUGAUGCAGCAACGCCGCGUGCGGGAUGACGGCCUUCGGGUUGUAAACCGCUUUCGCCUGUGACGAAGCGUGAGUGACGGUAAUGGGGAAAGAAGCACCGGCUAACUACGU
Molecule: ribosomal RNA, 467 nt
Filed under: uncultured bacterium
Lineage: Bacteria
Description: partial 16S ribosomal RNA
Rfam family: Bacterial small subunit ribosomal RNA
Source: RNAcentral